AGCAGCCGCGGUAAUUCCAGCUCCAAUAGCGUAUAUUAAAGUUGUUGCAGUUAAAAGCUCGUAGUUGAAUUUCGGGAUCAAUAUGUUGGUCGUGCCUUGGUACGUACUGGCGUCAUUGAUUUCUACCUUCUGAAGAACCUCGAUGUCAUUAAUUUGGUGUCUUGGGGAAUCAGGACUGUUACUUUGAAAAAAUUGAGUGUUUAAAGCAAGCUCACGCUUGAAUACAUUAGCAUGGAAUAAUGAAAUAGGACGUUUGAUUCUAUUUUGUUGGUUUCUAGGAUCGACGUAAUGAUUAAUAGGGAUAGUUGGGGGCAUUAGUAUUCAAUUGUCAGAGGUGAAAUUCUUGGAUUUAUUGAAGACUAACUACUGCGAAAGCAUUUGCCAAGGAUGUUUUCAUUAAUCAAGAACGAAAGUUAGGGGAUCGAGGACGAUCGGAUACCGUCGUAGUCUUAACCAUAAACUAUGCCGACUAGGGAUCGGAUGAUGUUAAUUUUUUAAUGUACUCAUUCGGCGUCCG
This 517-nucleotide unclassified non-coding RNA is filed under the name uncultured Glomus. RNAcentral's name for it is "SSU rRNA". It matches the Rfam family "Eukaryotic small subunit ribosomal RNA", at positions 569 to 1089 of the family's 1831-position model. The record is from RNAcentral. Lineage: Eukaryota; Fungi; Glomeromycota; Glomeromycetes; Glomerales; Glomeraceae.